UACGUAGGGUGCGAGCGUUAAUCGGAAUUACUGGGCGUAAAGCGUGCGCAGGCGGUUUUGUAAGCCAGAUGUGAAAGCCCCGGGCUUAACCUGGGAAUGGCAUUUGGGACUGCAAGGCUUGAGUGCGGCAGAGGAGACUGGAAUUCCUGGUGUAGCAGUGAAAUGCGUAGAUAUCAGGAGGAAUACCGAUGGCGAAGGCAGGUCUCUGGGCUGACACUGACGCUCAUGCACGAAAGCGUGGGGA
This 244-nucleotide ribosomal RNA is filed under the name uncultured bacterium. Its description in RNAcentral is "partial 16S ribosomal RNA". It matches the Rfam family "Bacterial small subunit ribosomal RNA", at positions 524 to 767 of the family's 1533-position model. The record is from RNAcentral.